RNAcentral lists this ribosomal RNA (164 nucleotides) under Gagea x microfistulosa. Its description in RNAcentral is "5.8S ribosomal RNA". It matches the Rfam family "5.8S ribosomal RNA". From Rfam's summary of the family: 5.8S ribosomal RNA (5.8S rRNA) is a component of the large subunit of the eukaryotic ribosome. It is transcribed by RNA polymerase I as part of the 45S precursor that also contains 18S and 28S rRNA. Lineage: Eukaryota; Viridiplantae; Streptophyta; Magnoliopsida; Liliales; Liliaceae. The record is from RNAcentral.
AUUAAGACUCUCGGCAACGGAUAUCUCGGCUCUUACAUCGAUGAAGAACGUAGCGAAAUGCGAUACUUGGUGUGAAUUGCAGAAUCCCGUGAACCAUCGAGUCUUUGAACGCAAGUUGCGCCCGAGGCCUUUGGGUCGAGGGCACGCCUGCCUGGGCGUCACGC